Molecule: long non-coding RNA, 898 nt
Organism: Salvelinus fontinalis (brook trout)
Lineage: Eukaryota; Metazoa; Chordata; Actinopteri; Salmoniformes; Salmonidae
Exons: 3
Source: RefSeq, a predicted model, not a curated record
GGACACGACCCCCACAUCCUGGGGAAAAUAUGAUUUGUCCCCCCCAAUAUAUCACUGUAAACAUAACUAUGUAAUUUCAAUAAUAUUAAUAAUACGCAAUGAAAGCACUUGUACUGAUUAUAGACACUUAAUAGCGCGUUUUUAAAUUUCACAAGAUUGCGACCCCCCCCGGCCCUUUGCCUCACAAUGGUUUGAUCCACUGCCAGUUCUUUAGCUGGCAAGGUAAUAGAGGGCUCGUAUCUACUGUCCGAAAGGCACUCAAUGUACGUAACUGACGUGAGGCAGAGCAGGCAACAGAUGGCACACAGACAGCAGAGCUGGGGACAGAUAUGCAGGGACAGACUGGCAGAGACAGGGAGUCUCAGGAGACAGACUGUGAGUCAGUGAGGGUGGUGAAAGGGAAAGAGCCAAGGAGAGAGACUUGAGGACAGUGUCACAGCCACGGCAGGACCAGGUGUCACCCUUGUUGCCAGCAGCACCAGUAUAGGGGACAGUGGCACAGCAUCGUCCAGUUACCUCAGUGAUGACACAAAACCAUAUCAGCCACACCCACAAUUUAUAGAACCGCAAACUCUUGCAAACGUUUCAAGAGAGAGGAACACUGCACUGAUAAGGAACAUUGCUAUAACUAUUAUUAUUAGUAGUAUUAUAAUGAUUUAAACAAGUUGGGACAACCCUUCAGUUAACUACUGUACCUAACAAUUAUCCAGUAGUAGUGAUUAUGGUCCCUCAAUAUACAUUUAACAUAUUACAACAUAGUCUAUGUGUUACAGCACUACUUUUGGUGUCCCCCUCAGGAAUUGCUCCUGAGAAAAUUUCAUGUAAUUGUCCCCUCCAAGGUUGAUAUCAGAUUUUCGCCCCUGACUCCAUGUGAAAGACGUGUCAUUAGGAAAGUUUA